CGCAAAGGCGGCGUUUUCAAAUGUAUCCACUCUGGGAUCCGAAAAAUUGAGGUUUCACUCUCCCAAAACGCCUGAUCCGUGUGGACGAAACGCCUAUCCUAUAUAUUUGCACAGAAAUGCGUUGCCGUGUGGACAGAGCCUAAAUUCCAGGGGUUUCAUUACCACGACGUAAAAUGGGCGUUUCUUGAGGUCUUGUUAAAACGCCCUCUUUCAAAAAAGAAAAAAAAGUAAAGAAGUCACCGAUCAUGUGCAGAAUGCUGUUUAUUUUUGCACGGGCAUUUCCAAUCCCAGGAUCAAGUCACAAAACUGUCAUACAGUUAUACUAAAUGAAUAUGAAGAAAAAGAUCACAGAGACGUCUGAUGACAGACACAAAAAAGCAGAAGGUGACACCGUGAUGUUUAUGGAAAGUGGAAGAUACAAAACAUGUCCCACUCUCUGUGAAAAUAAGUUUGAUACAUUCUUGUCAGCACGGAAAGAACUACAAGAAGACAACCACAACGGAUGAUUUGGGAGCUCCAAAAAAGCCACAGAAAGCCAGAGACAUAGUUUCAGAUUUGUUGAACAACAUGCUGCGGUGACAGCAACUCUCAUGGCUGACAGAAAUACCAGGCAUCUUGUGCUAAGAGGGUCAUACAUCUCUACACCUGAGGACACAUGUAGGGUGCUGAAGCCACUCAGAAUCUUGGAUAAAUCUCAGAGAAAUGCAUCACAAUCUCAUCCCUGAGGCCUGUCCUUCAGCAUCUGACUGAAUCCAUCCUGGCAGAAAAGGAUGAUGACAGCAGCCUGGUGAGGAACAUGAAACAUGCUAUCUGCAAGAACUUAAAAGAGCUGUAUGAGGAUUCUGAUAUGGCUAUUGUGAUUAACAUGGCCUGUGUACUUGACCCCUGCUUCAAGUUGAACUUCGUGGAAGAGGCAGAUUCAAUCAAAGGACAGCUAGAGCAACAGGUCAUGCAGGAGUCUUCUGCAAAAUGAAGGUAGCACUUCUAUUCUCUCACAGGAGUCUUCUUCCAGAGGAGAAUGUGAAGAUGAGGGGACCAGUGUCUCUGUCCCUGAGGCCCCAAAAGGCUUGUCUGGUAUUCUUAAAAUAAUAACAAUGAAAAAACAGGAGAAAAACCAAUCAGCAGACAUGGUGAAAUCUACACUAGCAUUUCAAGAAGUUUCUGUUUACACAUCCUUGCCCACUAUUGCUGUCGAAAAAGACCCACUUCAGUGGUGGAAGGAUAAUGAGGAGGAGUUUCCAAGGUUGGCAAAACUGGCACAGAAGAUCCUUUGCAUUCCCGCCACCAGUGUUGCAUCAGAAAGACUUUUCAGUUCUUCAGGGAACAUUAAGACAGUGUUUUGCUCCAGUUUGAAACCAGACAAACUUAAUAUGCUUGUCUUCCUUAACACAAAUUUGCCAUAGAUUGUGAAUGCAAUAAGGAAAAAUACAUUUGCAUUGUUUAUCAGUAUUCCUAAUGCUUUUUGGGUAAAAAAAAGAAGAGAAAAUGAGUUUAAUGACUGAGAAGGCAAUAAGUUAAAAUACAUGUGCCUUGUUUAUCAGUAUUCCUAAUGCUUGUUGGGUAAAAAAGAGAAAAUAAGUAAAAAUUAGUUUAAUGUCUGAGAAGGCUAUAAGUUAAAAUAUACAUGUGCCUUGUUUAUCAGUUAAAUGAGUUUAAUGGCUGAGAAGGCAAUAAGUUAAAAUACAUGUGCCUUGUUUAUCAGUAUUCCUAAUGCUUGUUGGGUAAAAAAGAAAUAAAUUAAGAACAAAUUAAUUUGACCCCUAUAUAUAUAUAUAUGUGUGUGUGAUGGAAUUCUGAAGUUUACUUUCCUUAAACCGUCUCUCCCUCUCUUCAGAGGAAGCUGAGAACACCUCCUCCUCACUCCUCCUUUAGAUUUAGUCCGAGAGCUUUCUGUCCCUCCAUUGAAAAUGUAUGUACGGUAUAAAGUCCAU
This is a long non-coding RNA of Carassius auratus (goldfish), 1931 nucleotides long. RefSeq lists it as uncharacterized. The transcript has 6 exons. NCBI's taxonomy places the organism in Eukaryota, Metazoa, Chordata, Actinopteri, Cypriniformes, Cyprinidae. The record is from RefSeq and is a predicted model, not a curated record.